AUGCUAAAGGGAAAAGGGCCCCUUGGCUGCAGGAGGCAGGUGUAUUCCCCUCUCCAGAGUGGCUGUCAUUGCCCACUUGGGCUGUUUUCAUGAGAAGAAGAGGUUCCAGGUGAGGUGGGAACAGAGCUGAACUGGGAGAAGGAGGAGAAAGUGCUUACCUGGAUACUGGCUGGAGGCAGGUGUCAGUUGACCCCAAAGAGCAAGGAGCCCCACGAGGAGAAGGCCACCCCACCACAGGGUGAACAAGCUACGGGAAGCCUGGGCAAUGUCCUGGGGCUCAGCCAGGUAUGGUCGGACCCUGCGUGGUUUGGUGUAAGAAUGACUGGUCAUGCCCUGGAGUUCAGAAGUGCUGCGGGAGUUGCCCACGAGCUUGUGCUUAUCCUGUCAGAGGUGAGUCUGUUUAUUCUGCGGAGGGUGGGGUGGGAUAGGAAGCUCUUCUUCUUCAUGAAUCAAGGCCAUUGUGACUUAUGAAGAAUUGCAGAAUCUCUAAACUCAGAAGUGCUUACCUGGAUUCUGGAUGGAGGCAGGAGUCAGCUGAGGCAAGGAGCCCCACAAGGAGGAGAAGGCCACCACAACACAUGAUGGACAGGCUUUGUCUGCUGCCUAGACCAUCAGUUGACUAGAACUUUCAGGUUGGAAAGGCAGCCCAAGAGUCAGUGAGGGUUUUGCUCUUUUGCAGAGAAGCCUGAACAAUGCCCUCCGAAUCGAGGUGUGGG
Molecule: long non-coding RNA, 716 nt
Filed under: Podarcis muralis (Common wall lizard)
Lineage: Eukaryota; Metazoa; Chordata; Lepidosauria; Squamata; Lacertidae
Description: lncRNA (ENSPMRG00000007155.1)
Source: RNAcentral